This 473-nucleotide ribosomal RNA is filed under the name Treponema sp. oral taxon 247. RNAcentral's name for it is "bacterial SSU rRNA". It matches the Rfam family "Bacterial small subunit ribosomal RNA", at positions 42 to 505 of the family's 1533-position model. Lineage: Bacteria; Pseudomonadati; Spirochaetota; Spirochaetia; Treponematales; Treponemataceae. The record is from RNAcentral.
GGGCGUUUAACAUGCAAAGUCGAACGGUAAGAGAGAGCCUAGCUCUUCUCCUAGAGUGGCGGACUGGUGAGUAACGCGUGGGUGACCUGCCCUAAAGAUGGGGAUAGCUAGUAGAAAUAUUAGAUAAUACCGAAUGUGCUCAUUUACAUAAAGGUAGAUGAGGAAAGGGAGCUACGGCUCCGCUUUAGGAUGGGCCCGCGUCCCAUUAGCUAGUUGGUGAGGUAACGGCCCACCAAGGCAACGAUGGGUAUCCGGCCUGAGAGGGUGAACGGACACAUUGGGACUGAGAUACGGCCCAAACUCCUACGGGAGGCAGCAGCUAAGAAUCUUCCGCAAUGGACGAAAGUCUGACGGAGCGACGCCGUGUGAAUGAAGAAGGCCGAAAGGUUGUAAAAUUCUUUUGCAGAUGAAGAAUAAGGAUAAGAGGGAAUGAUUGUCCGAUGACGUAGUUAGCGAAUAGCCGGGUAUUCAAG